UACGUAGGGGGCAAGCGUUGUCCGGAUUUAUUGGGCGUAAAGCGCGUGUAGGCGGCCAGAUAGGUCUGCUGUGAAAACUCGAGGCUCAACCUCGAGACGCCGAUGGAAACCAUCUGACUAGAGUCCGGAAGAGGAGAGUGGAAUUCCUGGUGUAGCGGUGAAAUGCGCAGAUAUCAGGAAGAACACCCGUGGCUAAGGCGGCUCUCUAGUACGGUACUGACGCUGAGACGCGAAAGCGUGGGGAGCGAACAGG
RNAcentral lists this ribosomal RNA (253 nucleotides) under uncultured bacterium. Its description in RNAcentral is "partial 16S ribosomal RNA". It matches the Rfam family "Bacterial small subunit ribosomal RNA", at positions 524 to 776 of the family's 1533-position model. The record is from RNAcentral.